GAUGAAGAACGUAGCGAAAUGCGAUAAGUAGUGUGAAUUGCAGAAUUCAGUGAAUCAUCGAAUCUUUGAACGCACAUUGCGCCCUUUGGUAUUCCUUAGGGCAUGCCUGUUCGAGCGUCAUUUGAAACCUCAAGCUCAGCUUGGUGUUGGGUGUCUGUCCCCGCCUCCGCGGGGACUCGCCUCAAAAUCAUUGGCGGCCGGUACGUUGGCUUCGAGCGCAGCAGAAACGCGAACUCGAGGCCCGGCGGAUCGGCGACCAGAAGUCUCUUCUUCACAGUUUGACCUCGGAUCAGGUAGGGAUACCCGCUGAACUUAAGCAUAUCAAUAAGCGGAGG
RNAcentral lists this unclassified non-coding RNA (335 nucleotides) under soil metagenome. RNAcentral describes it as "partial contains 5.8S ribosomal RNA, internal transcribed spacer 2, and large subunit ribosomal RNA". The stretch from base 1 to 120 matches the Rfam family "5.8S ribosomal RNA", at positions 35 to 154 of the family's 154-position model. The record is from RNAcentral.